Molecule: long non-coding RNA, 1987 nt
Organism: Alligator mississippiensis (American alligator)
Lineage: Eukaryota; Metazoa; Chordata; Crocodylia; Alligatoridae
Exons: 3
Source: RefSeq, a predicted model, not a curated record
CAGUCAGGGAGGAAUGAGCUCUCCUGGAGCAAAGCUGAGAGGAGAGGCCUGACCGCAGGUACAGCCCGAGCCAGAAACUAUCCCAUACUGAGGAAAAUCUGACUACAUCUAGAUGAAACAUUGAAGGACUGGUAGAGAUCCAGCCUGUAGACUAAAUGAGACAGGAAGCCUUUGUUGAUGUCUUGACCCUCUCCACCUCCUGCUGGAAUUAUGCAUGUUGCCACAGCCUUGGGGUUUGGUCUUGUUUCCCCAUGUAUUCCUACUGGGAAGAAGCAAGAAGGUCAGACUGAUGUCCAGACCCUACAUAGAAAUCUCAUUUAAACCCACCCCCAGGGCAAGAGUUAGGAUGGGAAGAAAGCACACUUUUUCAUGGAAGCCAAUGUUCUUCAGGGUUGGACAGUCUGGUACACCGACAUUUUAAAUGGGCUCCAGGGCUUAGGCCAGUUCUGUUAAUUCUUCCAUAUCCCUUUGCAAAGGAAUUUUAAGUCUGAUAUCCUUCCCACUGUUCCUGCUCUGCAAUAUCCUCUCAUCCAUUUUCACUCUUGUGAGCAUUCCUUCCUGCAUCAGCUAGGAUGGAUGAAGCAGUUUGUAAGAAAAAAAAAAAAAAAUUUAAUUAAACAACUCCCCCCCCAAAAAAACAAAAAAAACCCCAACAACAAUCAAACAAACACAUGACCUUCACUCUAAAUCUUGAAGAGAGAGAAACUGAAAUGUCUGGAAGGAUCUGUCCAGGUUUCUACAGGAACCCUUUCUACCUCUUUUCUCAGCAGUCUGGCAGUAGAACAUUGCCUACCAGAGGGGUUUAAAUGUAACACCCUCAUGUUACCUGGAUUCAAAGUGACACACUGAAGCCUUCUUCUGACCCAUGGAAGAAGACAGUACACCAUAUUUGAGGACAGUAAUCUACCCAGGCUCAAUACAGAUUAAAGGAUGCUCUGAGGCUGUCAUCAUUAAUCCAUCAAAGUACUGUGCAUCGUACUGAAUGGUAAAACACACUUGAGAGACCAGCAUGGAGAGCAGGAAGCAUGAAAGAAAACAGAGUAUGAGAAGUAUCUGUAUCCUGGCUGGGGUCUACUGUACUCAAAUGGAAGGAGUGAGGAGGGAGGAACAAGUGAGGGAGAGAAAAGGUGGAAGAAGGGGGGAAAAAAAAGAAUCAGAGUUAGGCAGAAGUGAAUCAGAAAUGGAAGAUAAUGAUGGAACUCAAAGCAAAGAAAACCAUUUUUGCAUUCAUUUCUCCUUCAUGUACCAAUAUUUAAGCCACCGGCUAACUGAUUUUCAUAAUCCUUUCACAAGGAUUAAGGGUAAAUAUGUGCCUCCUAUUGAGAUAUAGGAUGCUUUUGCUCUGGUGUUCAGUUUCCAGAGCAAAGAUGUGUAUGGAAGUGCUCUGUGCAUGUUUUACAGUGCUAUAGAGUCCUUUUUAUAGCACUAUAAAGUUACAGCACUCUUCAACAUGAUAGAAGGGCAGUGUUUGGUGGGAGGGCCCCUGAGCCUCCCUGCACUUUCCAGGCUAGGAGGCAGGGGGUGCCCCAUAUCCUCCUAGGGCUUCCCCGCUUCUGCCUUUGCUCGAGAUAAUUUGCAUCAUCACAGAGCCUCAACCACAGAGCUCAGAGACGCUUCACCAGAUGAGAAAUGCCUUCCCAGAAGAGCAUUCCACUUUUUUACUCCUCUAUGAAAUAUGAAACAUCAUAACCAGAAGGAAAUAUGAAUACAUCCUGCUUACCACCAAACAACUUUGAGGUAAACAGACUAUUCCAACUUUUCCCUGAGCCUAACCUGCAUUUAAAAUGAACUUUUCCAAACAGGAGAUUUUACCACACCUUCAACUCUCCUAUGAAAUAUGCAUUUUCAUUUCUACCCAGGAGAACUUUUACAAUCUUUUCUCCGAUGCCUGACGAAAGGUGUUUGGGCCCAAAAGCUUGCAAUUAAAUUUUUUUUUUUUUUUUUUUUUUUGCAAAAUCUAGUUGGUCUAAUAAAAAGAUAUCACCUC